Dermacentor andersoni is the source of this 395-nucleotide long non-coding RNA. RefSeq lists it as uncharacterized. The record is from RefSeq and is a predicted model, not a curated record. Lineage: Eukaryota; Metazoa; Arthropoda; Arachnida; Ixodida; Ixodidae.
CGCUUUAUAUAAUGCAAGAAGGCAGCUGCAAGGACACGAGGAUGUGAAAGAGCCAGUGCAGUGCGGCUUCACGUAGUGCAGAGGAGCGAAUGCCAAGAAAUCAAAAUACAUUGGCAUGCAAUUUGGACACAAAAACUAGUAUGGACAACCCAGGACGUGCAUUUCUCAGCAUCCAGUCAACUGCCAGAAGUGACUCAAACACAGGCCACCAGUGGAACUCGGCUGUACCACUGCAGUGCUGCGGAAAUUGCCAGCACCAGCGCCUUUGCAACAGCUGUUUCGCAGCAUGUCGGUAUGUGCAAAUUUAUAGUUAUGUUGGGAUGGGCUAGUAUUAUGGACCACUGCUACUCUGUAUUGUGACGGAUCCAUAUGAUAAGGGAUGUAAUGGGCACAGC